AUUGGAAGUAAAAGUCGUAACAAGGUUUCCGUAGGUGAACCUGCGGAAGGAUCAUUACAGAGUUCAUGCCCUCACGGGUAGAUCUCCCACCCUUGAAUAUUUUAUACCUUAGUUGCUUUGGCAGGCCGUGGAAACACCAUGGGCUCCGGCUUAUGCGUGCCUGCCAGAGGAAACAAACUCUGUUUUUAGUGAUGUCUGAGUACUAUAUAAUAGUUAAAACUUUCAACAACGGAUCUCUUGGUUCUGGCAUCGAUGAAGAACGCAGCGAAAUGCGAUAAGUAAUGUGAAUUGCAGAAUUCAGUGAAUCAUCGAAUCUUUGAACGCACAUUGCGCCCCGUGGUAUUCCGCGGGGCAUGCCUGUUCGAGCGUCAUUUCAACCCAUCAAGCUUCUGCUUGGUCUCGGGGCCUGCGGUUUCGCAGCCUCUAAACUCAGUGGCGGUGCUAUUGAGCUCUGAGCGUAGUAAUUUUUCUCGCUAUAGGGUCUCGGUAGUUACUUGCCAGUAACCCCCAAUUUUUAUCAGGUUGACCUCGGAUCAGGUAGGGAUACCCGCUGAACUUAAGCAUAUCAAUAAGCGGAGGAAAUC
Molecule: ribosomal RNA, 584 nt
Filed under: uncultured Helotiales
Lineage: Eukaryota; Fungi; Ascomycota; Leotiomycetes; Helotiales
Description: eukaryotic LSU rRNA
Rfam family: 5.8S ribosomal RNA (bases 218-371)
Source: RNAcentral